CCUACGGGAGGCAGCAGUCGAGAAUCAUUCACAAUGGGGGAAACCCUGAUGGUGCGACGCCGCGUGGGGGAAUGAAGGUCUUCGGAUUGUAAACCCCUGUCAUGUGGGAGCAAAUUAAAAAGAUAGUACCACAAGAGGAAGAGACGGCUAACUCUGUGCCAGCAGCCGCGGUAAUACAGAGGUCUCAAGCGUUGUUCGGAAUCACUGGGCGUAAAGCGUGCGUAGGCUGUUUCGUAAGUCGUGUGUGAAAGGCGCGGGCUCAACCCGCGGACGGCACAUGAUACUGCGAGACUAGAGUAAUGGAGGGGGAACCGGAAUUCUCGGUGUAGCAGUGAAAUGCGUAGAUAUCGAGAGGAACACUCGUGGCGAAGGCGGGUUCCUGGACAUUAACUGACGCUGAGGCACGAAGGCCAGGGGAGCGAAAGAGAUUAGAUACCCCUGUAGUC
Molecule: ribosomal RNA, 446 nt
Filed under: uncultured bacterium
Lineage: Bacteria
Description: partial 16S ribosomal RNA
Rfam family: Bacterial small subunit ribosomal RNA
Source: RNAcentral